GGGCCCGUAGCUCAAUUGGACAGAGCGGCGACCUUCUAAGUCGUCCGGUUGAGGGUUCGAGUCCCUCCGGGCCCGCCA
RNAcentral lists this transfer RNA (78 nucleotides) under Pseudomonadota bacterium. RNAcentral describes it as "tRNA-Arg". It matches the Rfam family "tRNA". Rfam says of the family: Transfer RNA (tRNA) molecules are approximately 80 nucleotides in length. Their secondary structure includes four short double-helical elements and three loops (D, anti-codon, and T loops). RNAcentral also lists the same sequence under 3 other names. Lineage: Bacteria; Pseudomonadati; Pseudomonadota. The record is from RNAcentral.